ACGGCAGCACGGAGCUUGCUCUGGUGGCGAGUGGCGAACGGGUGAGUAAUAUAUCGGAACGUACCCUGGAGUGGGGGAUAACGUAGCGAAAGUUACGCUAAUACCGCAUACGAUCUAAGGAUGAAAGUGGGGGACUCGCAAGAGCCUCAUGCUCGUGGAGCGGCCGAUAUCUGAUUAGCUAGUUGGUAGGGUAAAAGCCUACCAAGGCAUCGAUCAGUAGCUGGUCUGAGAGGACGACCAGCCACACUGGAACUGAGACACGGUCCAGACUCCUACGGGAGGCAGCAGUGGGGAAUUUUGGACAAUGGGCGCAAGCCUGAUCCAGCAAUGCCGCGUGAGUGAAGAAGGCCUUCGGGUUGUAAAGCUCUUUUGUCAGGGAAGAAACGGUGAGAGCUAAUAUCUUUUGCUAAUGACGGUACCUGAAGAAUAAGCACCGGCUAACUACGUGCCAGCAGCCGCGGUAAUACGUAGGGUGCAAGCGUUAAUCGGAAUUACUGGGCGUAAAGCGUGCGCAGGCGGUUUUGUAAGUCUGAUGUGAAAUCCCCGGGCUCAACCCGGGAAUUGCAUUGGAGACUGCAAGGCUAGAAUCUGGCAGAGGGGGGUAGAAUUCCACGUGUAGCAGUGAAAUGCGUAGAUAUGUGGAGGAACACCGAUGGCGAACGCAGCUCCUCUGGGUCAAGAUUGACGCUCAUGCACGAAAGCGUGGGGAGCAAAC
RNAcentral lists this ribosomal RNA (715 nucleotides) under uncultured bacterium. RNAcentral describes it as "bacterial SSU rRNA". It matches the Rfam family "Bacterial small subunit ribosomal RNA", at positions 66 to 773 of the family's 1533-position model. The record is from RNAcentral.